Acyrthosiphon pisum (pea aphid) is the source of this 121-nucleotide non-coding RNA. Lineage: Eukaryota; Metazoa; Arthropoda; Insecta; Hemiptera; Aphididae. The record is from Rfam.
GGCAACGACCAUACCACGUUGAAUACACCAGUUCUCAUCCGAUCACUGAAGUUAAGCAACGUCGGGGGCGUGGUUAAUAUUUGGAUGGGUGACCGCUUGUGAACACUACGUGCCAUGGGCA